UACGGAAGGUCCGGGCGUUAUCCGGAUUUAUUGGGUUUAAAGGGAGCGCAGGCGGCUGCUUAAGCGUGCCGUGAAAUGCCGUGGCUCAACCAUGGCACCGCGGCGCGAACUGGGCGGCUUGAGUCGGCGGAAGGUGCGCGGAAUUCGUGGUGUAGCGGUGAAAUGCUUAGAUAUCACGAGGAACCCCGAUUGCGAAGGCAGCGCGCCGCAGCCGUACUGACGCUCAUGCUCGAAGGCGCGGGUAU
RNAcentral lists this ribosomal RNA (245 nucleotides) under uncultured Prevotella sp. RNAcentral describes it as "partial 16S ribosomal RNA". It matches the Rfam family "Bacterial small subunit ribosomal RNA", at positions 524 to 768 of the family's 1533-position model. The record is from RNAcentral. Lineage: Bacteria; Pseudomonadati; Bacteroidota; Bacteroidia; Bacteroidales; Prevotellaceae.